ACGGAAGGCAGCAGUGGGGAAUAUUGCGCAAUGGGGGAAACCCUGACGCAGCGACGCCGCGUGAGUGAAGAAGUAUUUCGGUAUGUAAAGCUCUAUCAGCAAGGAAGAAAAUGACGGUACUUGACUAAGAAGCUCCGGCUAAAUACGUGCCAGCAGCCGCGGUAAUACGUAUGGAGCAAGCGUUAUCCGGAUUUACUGGGUGUAAAGGGAGCGUAGACGGCAAAGCAAGUCUGAAGUGAAAUCCCGGGGCUCAACCCCGGAACUGCUUUGGAAACUGUUUAGCUAGAGUGCAGGAGAGGUAAGCGGAAUUCCUAGUGUAGCGGUGAAAUGCGUAGAUAUUAGGAGGAACACCAGUGGCGAAGGCGGCUUACUGGACUGUAACUGACGUUGAGGCUCGAAAGCGUGGGGAGCAAACAGGAUUAGAUACCCUGGUA
RNAcentral lists this ribosomal RNA (434 nucleotides) under uncultured Lachnospiraceae bacterium. Its description in RNAcentral is "partial 16S ribosomal RNA". It matches the Rfam family "Bacterial small subunit ribosomal RNA", at positions 341 to 792 of the family's 1533-position model. Lineage: Bacteria; Bacillati; Bacillota; Clostridia; Lachnospirales; Lachnospiraceae. The record is from RNAcentral.